AUCAUUGGAAUGUAGAUGUUUGAAACAAAGGUGUAGAAAUAAACGAAUUGUUUGGAACUGAGCUCUGGCCCUAGAGACGCUCGGAGUGGUCUUUUCUGGGGCUCCA
Monodelphis domestica (gray short-tailed opossum) is the source of this 106-nucleotide long non-coding RNA. It matches the Rfam family "HOX antisense intergenic RNA myeloid 1 conserved region 4". The record is from Rfam. NCBI's taxonomy places the organism in Eukaryota, Metazoa, Chordata, Mammalia, Didelphimorphia, Didelphidae.